This 641-nucleotide ribosomal RNA is filed under the name Planomicrobium sp. SCULCB HNA-22. RNAcentral's name for it is "bacterial SSU rRNA". It matches the Rfam family "Bacterial small subunit ribosomal RNA", at positions 32 to 657 of the family's 1533-position model. The record is from RNAcentral. Lineage: Bacteria; Bacillati; Bacillota; Bacilli; Caryophanales; Caryophanaceae.
AACGCUGGCGGCGUGCCUAAUACAUGCAAGUCGAGCGGAACCAUUGGAGCUUGCUCCAUCGGUUUAGCGGCGGACGGGUGAGUAACACGUGGGCAACCUGCCCUGCAGAUCGGGAUAACUCCGGGAAACCGGUGCUAAUACCGAAUAGUUUUUUGCCCCUCCUGGGGCGGCACGGAAAGACGGUUUCGGCUGUCACUGCAGGAUGGGCCCGCGGCGCAUUAGCUAGUUGGUGGGGUAAUGGCCCACCAAGGCGACGAUGCGUAGCCGACCUGAGAGGGUGAUCGGCCACACUGGGACUGAGACACGGCCCAGACUCCUACGGGAGGCAGCAGUAGGGAAUCUUCCGCAAUGGACGAAAGUCUGACGGAGCAACGCCGCGUGAGUGACGAAGGUUUUCGGAUCGUAAAACUCUGUUGUGAGGGAAGAACAAGUACCAACUAACUACUGGUACCUUGACGGUACCUCACCAGAAAGCCACGGCUAACUACGUGCCAGCAGCCGCGGUAAUACGUAGGUGGCAAGCGUUGUCCGGAAUUAUUGGGCGUAAAGCGCGCGCAGGCGGUCCCUUAAGUCUGAUGUGAAAGCCCACGGCUCAACCGUGGAGGGUCAUUGGAAACUGGGGGACUUGAGUGCAGAAGAGG